GUAAAUGCAAUGAAAGAGGAAAGUAUUUUGACUAAACUUAGUAAAGAGAUAAACACCUAGGCUGGGAGUGUUUUCUAAGAGGUCAUGAGAAGUUCCCUCUGGAGUAACAGAGCUGAAAUUUUACAGUAGGCUUUGACGUCAAAAACGCGUUAAGUUUGUUAGAGGUGGUUUGAUGAUUUUAAAUUGUUAAACUACUAGGGUGGUACCGCGAAACUAUAGCCUUUCGUCCCUAGA
This 234-nucleotide non-coding RNA is filed under the name Clostridioides difficile E13. RNAcentral describes it as "T-box". It matches the Rfam family "T-box leader". From Rfam's summary of the family: Uncharged tRNA acts as the effector for transcription antitermination of genes in the T-box leader family. T-boxes are found upstream of many aminoacyl-tRNA synthetase genes and some amino acid biosynthetic genes usually in Gram-positive bacteria. The anticodon of a specific tRNA base pairs to a specifier sequence within the T-box motif, and the NCCA acceptor tail of the tRNA base pairs to a conserved bulge in the T-box antiterminator hairpin. RNAcentral also lists the same sequence under 1 other name. Lineage: Bacteria; Bacillati; Bacillota; Clostridia; Peptostreptococcales; Peptostreptococcaceae. The record is from RNAcentral.